This 501-nucleotide ribosomal RNA is filed under the name Marinobacter nauticus. RNAcentral describes it as "bacterial SSU rRNA". It matches the Rfam family "Bacterial small subunit ribosomal RNA", at positions 79 to 577 of the family's 1533-position model. Lineage: Bacteria; Pseudomonadati; Pseudomonadota; Gammaproteobacteria; Pseudomonadales; Marinobacteraceae. The record is from RNAcentral.
GCUUCCCGCUGACGAGCGGCGGACGGGUGAGUAAUGCUUAGGAAUCUGCCCAGUAGUGGGGGAUAGCCCGGGGAAACCCGGAUUAAUACCGCAUACGUCCUACGGGAGAAAGCAGGGGAUCUUCGGACCUUGCGCUAUUGGAUGAGCCUAAGUCGGAUUAGCUAGUUGGUGGGGUAAAGGCCUACCAAGGCGACGAUCCGUAGCUGGUCUGAGAGGAUGAUCAGCCACAUCGGGACUGAGACACGGCCCGAACUCCUACGGGAGGCAGCAGUGGGGAAUAUUGGACAAUGGGGGCAACCCUGAUCCAGCCAUGCCGCGUGUGUGAAGAAGGCUUUCGGGUUGUAAAGCACUUUCAGUAGGGAGGAAAACCUUAUGGUUAAUACCCAUGAGGCUUGACGUUACCUACAGAAGAAGCACCGGCUAACUCCGUGCCAGCAGCCGCGGUAAUACGGAGGGUGCAAGCGUUAAUCGGAAUUACUGGGCGUAAAGCGCGCGUAGGUG